UUCAGGAAAGGCUUAUGAGAGAGACCAGCCUGUCUGGAAGAGGAAUGGAGACUUCAGCUUGAAGACAGAGUAUAACAGCAAAAGUGACUCACAUCCUAGAGACACAUGAAUCAGCACAAAACAAAUUAAACAAAGCAACAUUAAACAGCAGCAAAGAAAUCCUUAAAUCAUCAUAAGAAAAUGCCAAACAUCCAACAGGGCUGGAAGAGAGAAGGUACAGGGUGACAUAAAAUGGAGGAUGCUGCAAGCAAUAAUGAAAAGGAGAGAUGAAGAUACAGAUGGUGAAGAAAGGUCCUGUGAACGAGAUGCAGUUAUUUUUUUAUCUCAGCAGUAAGCAGAGCAUCCCAUUCCUUUUAUCAAGCCACCUAGGUAGAUUCUUGAAUCCACCUCCUGGAAAGGACGCAUAAACCUGCUGCCUGAGCUGUCUUAAGAGCUUGAUCAAGCAGUGAGAAACUAUGAAAAUAAAUGCUGAACUACAGAUGUGGCAGAAAUUUUGGGCUUCAGAGGAAGACUUGAAGAAAAUACUGAUUUCAUUAGGAGCAUAUCACCCACAGAUUUCAUGCUGUUAUUCUCCAGUGUGAGCCACGGUUCCAUAUUCCAUGGCAGGAAAGUGUCUCUAAGGAGACGUGAAUCACAGCCUAUUACAUCACAAUGUGACAAGUGAAUGAUGUUGGAUUUCCUGCUUGAAUGCACAACACUAAGUGCAGCUCCCCACUUUAACUGCUGAGGAUGGGAACAUACCCCCAUGGAGGCCUGCACUCCCCUACUGAGCCCAUCCUCUUUGAGCACUCCUUGAAGGAUGACAAAUAUGGCAUCUCUUCUCAUACUACGUGUAGCUCACUCUUUUUACUCUCUUUCGGAUAGCAAAAUGCCUCUUGAGCCUCCUCUCUGCUAUUCCUUCCCUUUUCAUGCUUGUCUCUUGGGAAAGCAAGUUCUGAAGACAGAUGUUGCUUUCUCCUUUUAUUACUAUUCCACCUCUUUGCAGAGUCUCACACUACACCACAAGUUACAGCUCAUAAGUGGAUACAUAUGAAAAUAAUAUAGCUACAUACUCUCCAUGCCACUGAUUUAAGCAUGCCAGUACUGACUUUACCCUCCUUUCAUGGGCGCUAUCUUACAGUGAAACUUCGAGAAUAAACAGCUGUGAAUAUUUAACAGCCACUUUUCCAAGAUCCUGGUCGUUAGGUCAGAAUGCCAUGGUGUCUUAAUUAGUUUGGUGUGCCUCCCCUUUUCUUUUCUGAUCUGAAUGGCAAUUAUAGGGUAAGUAACUACUCUGCUUUGUCACCGUUCCAGUACAGCAAAUUAUGUUCUUGUUAUUUGUCACAUUGCUAGUUUUUGUGAAUGGAUAAUAUUGAUUAAAAUCUGUUUUGCAAAUAAGACACAAUUUAUGAAUGCAAUAAGCUUAUUCUAGAGGGAGUUUACUUUUUCCUGAUCACUAGAUAAAAUAUGUUAAAGGAGAUUAGUUCUGCUGUGGUGGAAUACUUUGACAAGAUGUUGAAAUCCCUGCAUCCAAGACAGUUCUAUUUGUACCAGUGGAAUAAAAAUUAACAUGUGCUCAGUGUACUAGGUCUUGAGGCCAGGACAUUCACCUUCUAGACUCAUUUUCUGUUUGCUAAACCCAUUUAAUUACAGAUUUAAAAUGCUGAAGAAAUGUGCAGUACAUGUGCAUCUUAGGUAACUCUGGGAAAAAAUAGUUUACCAUUUUCAAGUCUGAAAAUGAAAGUAGGGCUCUUUCAGACCAGCAGAUUUGGAAAUCUUCCACACAUUCCCACAGAAAUCCUUCCUGGACCCGGUCAAGACUAGACAUAUUUAACUUGGUGAUAACAGGCUGAAGAUGUUAAGGGAAGUUAUUGAAGCAACUGUAACUAAUGCCACAACAGGUUGUAAACAGAAGAGAAAAAAAUUAAAAUUAUUAGUACAUGUGUUGGAAUUUCUGUUUAAAAGCAUCUUUUAAAUGACUGAAAUAGCUAGAUAAAAUUUGGAAAAGAAAACUCCAUGAGAAACUCAGUCUGAGUCCCUGCAGCAUCCAAAAUGGUUUUUCUACUACUUCUCACUUUAUUUGCCAAAUAAGCAAAUCAACAAUGAGGGCUAUACUUUCUUCCGAAAGUGUUUUGGAAAAUUCCUUUCUAAGAAAAAAUUUAGGAGAAAUAAGUAUGUUUCUUGAAAAUGUACUGGUGUACAAGAAAGAUUUUUUGGGUUUUUUCAUUCCUGUUCUUUCUAGGGUUCCCCAUCCAUCUUAGCAGGCAGCAGACCAGGAAAAUAACUGAUUGCUUUUGUACUUUUGGGAAAAUCAGGUAGAUUGCUUUUCGGUGUGCUGAAGAAAUGCAAUGCAAGAUUUCACACCACUAAAACUCCUUCUGAGAGUCAAUCCAUUUCUUGAGACUGUGCCUGAAUACCCCAAUUAAUUCACUCCAGUUGAUAUUACUAACAUCUUGCCUUUCUACAUCUUCUCUCCAAUUGUAAUCAGCUGCUUCGUAAUAAUUUGUUUCAAAGUGAAAUAGAUGUAACUUUUUUCUUUAUUACCAUUUAUUUAUUUAUUUGUCACUGUGUCCUGCCAUUCCAAAUACCAGCAAAAAGCAUGGCAGGGCCACAGAGGUAUUUUGGUGGUUCUUCAAAAGAGGAAAGAUGAUGGUAGGCAUUGGAAAAUAUUUUAUUAUAAGCCUUACUGAAAACAUUUGCAAACUAAACCAAAUAACGGAAGCCUACUUUAUUGCACAACUGACCAUAUGAAAAUAAAAUGUGAAUAAAAUUGUUUUGAAAACUCCAGUUUACAGAAGCAAGUUUAGUGUAGUAUGGAAAUUGUCAAGGAAAAAUUGUACAGGGUUUAUCCAUACUCCAACUGCACCGAGAAACACUGUGUGGUGAAAGGGUUAAACCAGACCAGGCAGCCCUACCACAACAGGGAUAUUUUAUCAUAUAACAACCAAAGCAUUACCCUGCUGUAUUUAAAGGGUUUAUAUGCUGGAUUAAGACAUCCCAUCAUCUUUGGUUCCAUGGAAGAAUGGAACAGAACCUGAAAUAGAAAGCAGUCUUAUAUGUGGGGGACUUGACAAGUUUUUCUGUGUUAUUCAGUCAAUUUUUGCUGUCAUUCUCCAGCAUAGCACUUGAAUCCAUUCAACCUCUAAUAGCAUGAGAGACUCUUUAUUCACUGAGGAGAUGUUGAUUAAUCAAAUUAUGCAAGGAGUUGUCUGAAUUUUCUUCUUAGAAUUCAAAUACUCCAAUGCAAUUAUUCCGUGAAAAAUUUACGCACUUUCACUGGCACUGAUCACUGGUGUGGCUGAUGUGCUCUGAUAAAGUCCAGUGUUUCUAAGAAUAUACUUGGGUCUAAAGUAAUAGCUUUUCUAAUGAUCAAUAGGGAUCUGAAAUCUCAUAGUCCUAAUAUCAAGAUUUUUUUGAGGAUUGACCUGAAAUAAGCUAUAAUCAUGUUAACUCUUCUAGCAUUUUUGAUGUCUUACAUUGUGUUGCAGUUUGCACUCCAAAGUGCCAAGCCGGCCAGGAACAUGGGAGUUAAGCUAACCAAAGUGGUGCUAACUCUGACUAGAGCCUGGCAGACCUGGAGAGAUACAGUGAGGAUCAGCUGACUGACGAGUCACCUAAAGGAGGUGCUGGGGGUCUGGCCAUGCUAAAAGGUGCAAGCACCUCCUACACUCCCAUCUGCCUGCACUGAGAUGACUGGGAUACCUGAAGGUCUCUCAAUUAGCACUGGUCUCCUACACUUAGGGAACUGUCUGGUGCCCUUAGUGUUCAGCAUUAUUCAUGAUCAGACCCUUGAAUGUGUGUAUACGCUUAAAGGAGCAGCAGAAAAUGGCUAAAAUAUUAAUUAGAUAACAGUUCUGCUUUAGUUAAUCCGAGAAAAUGAGUGGAAAGCAAAAAUAUAGGAGGUGGAGUACAUACAGUGCUUACUCUAUAUGCUGCUUUGUUUUUAAAAGAGAGAAACCAAGUUCUUAGAGGUUCCCAUUUUUCUGUUCUUAUGAAUGAUGAUGCCAUUCUGGAGUUUUUCAGUGAGAGAGAGAGGAAUGUCUUUGAAGUGUUUUUGCUAGGGUCCAGUCCCAGUGCAAAUACAACAUAAAGAUGUUGAAUAAUAUUUCAGUGCUCUAUGUUUUAUGGAGAAUUUUGUUUUUCUUUCAUUUGUGAGGUUUCUUACGUUCAUCUGUUUAAUGCAACUUCAAUAACUGAACCUCUUUCUCUUUUUAAUCUCCACAGUGUGAGAAGAGAAUACCCUGCAGGUAUUCUGUUGAAUUUAUGAGAUUAUUAAACAAUUUGUGAG
Molecule: long non-coding RNA, 4267 nt
Organism: Corvus hawaiiensis (hawaiian crow)
Lineage: Eukaryota; Metazoa; Chordata; Aves; Passeriformes; Corvidae
Exons: 5
Source: RefSeq, a predicted model, not a curated record